This 620-nucleotide ribosomal RNA is filed under the name Vibrio parahaemolyticus. RNAcentral describes it as "partial 23S ribosomal RNA". It matches the Rfam family "Bacterial large subunit ribosomal RNA", at positions 372 to 1000 of the family's 2925-position model. The record is from RNAcentral. Lineage: Bacteria; Pseudomonadati; Pseudomonadota; Gammaproteobacteria; Vibrionales; Vibrionaceae.
CCCGUAGUUGACGACGUGUGUUCAGUGAAAUCGAGUAGGGCGGGACACGUGAUAUCCUGUCUGAAUAUGGGGGGACCAUCCUCCAAGGCUAAAUACUACUGACUGACCGAUAGUGAACCAGUACCGUGAGGGAAAGGCGAAAAGAACCCCUGUGAGGGGAGUGAAAUAGAACCUGAAACCGUGUACGUACAAGCAGUAGGAGCAGGCUUGUCCUGUGACUGCGUACCUUUUGUAUAAUGGGUCAGCGACUUAUAUUCAGUGGCAAGGUUAACCAUCUAGGGGAGCCGUAGGGAAACCGAGUCUUAACUGGGCGUUCAGUCUCUGGAUAUAGACCCGAAACCAGGUGAUCUAGCCAUGGGCAGGUUGAAGGUUGAGUAACAUCAACUGGAGGACCGAACCGACUAAUGUUGAAAAAUUAGCGGAUGACUUGUGGCUAGGGGUGAAAGGCCAAUCAAACCUGGAGAUAGCUGGUUCUCCCCGAAAGCUAUUUAGGUAGCGCCUCGGACGAAUACUACUGGGGGUAGAGCACUGUUAAGGCUAGGGGGUCAUCCCGACUUACCAACCCUUUGCAAACUCCGAAUACCAGUAAGUACUAUCCGGGAGACACACGGCGGGUGCUA